This 873-nucleotide ribosomal RNA is filed under the name Dyadobacter fermentans. RNAcentral describes it as "bacterial SSU rRNA". It matches the Rfam family "Bacterial small subunit ribosomal RNA", at positions 1 to 886 of the family's 1533-position model. Lineage: Bacteria; Pseudomonadati; Bacteroidota; Cytophagia; Cytophagales; Spirosomataceae. The record is from RNAcentral.
GCAGCCUUAGAGUUUGAAUCUGGCUCAGGAUGAACGCUAGCGGCAGGCUUAAUACAUGCAAGGCGAAGGGGCAGCAAUGUCACUGUCGUACGGGUGCGUAACGCGUAUGCAACCUACCUAUCACUGGGGGAUAGCCCGGGGAAACCCGGAUUAAUACCGCAUAAAACAGGGGCACCGCAUGGUGAUAUUUGUUAAAGAUUUAUUGGUGAUAGAUGGGCAUGCGUUCGAUUAGCUAGUUGGCGGGGUAACGGCCCACCAAGGCGACGAUCGAUAGGGGAGCUGAGAGGUUGAUCCCCCACACGGGCACUGAGAUACGGGCCCGACUCCUACGGGAGGCAGCAGUAGGGAAUAUUGGGCAAUGGAUGCAAGUCUGACCCAGCCAUGCCGCGUGCCGGAUGAAGGCCCUCAGGGUUGUAAACGGCUUUUAUUCGGGAAGAAGAGCAGGGAUGCGUCCUUGUGUGACGGUACCGAAUGAAUAAGCACCGGCUAACUCCGUGCCAGCAGCCGCGGUAAUACGGAGGGUGCGAGCGUUGUCCGGAUUUAUUGGGUUUAAAGGGUGCGUAGGUGGCCUGUUAAGUCAGUGGUGAAAUACGGUUGCUCAACAAUCGAGGUGCCAUUGAUACUGACCGGCUUGAAAUAAUUGGAGGCUGCCGGAAUGGAUGGUGUAGCGGUGAAAUGCAUAGAUAUCAUCCAGAACACCGAUUGCGAAGGCAGGUGGCUACGAUUGGUUUGACACUGAGGCACGAAAGCAUGGGGAGCAAACAGGAUUAGAUACCCUGGUAGUCCAUGCUGUAAACGAUGAGGACUCGUUGUUUGGCUGCAAAGCUGAGCGACUUAGGGAAACCGUUAAGUCCUCCACCGGGAUCCCCCGGG